This 84-nucleotide microRNA precursor is filed under the name Bombyx mori (domestic silkworm). RNAcentral describes it as "mir-2807 microRNA precursor family". It matches the Rfam family "mir-2807 microRNA precursor family". The record is from Rfam by way of RNAcentral. Lineage: Eukaryota; Metazoa; Arthropoda; Insecta; Lepidoptera; Bombycidae.
UUAACUCAAAUUUGUAUGCAUUUGUAACGUUUGGCUACGUUUGCCGCUAGGGGCGCUGUUCCAACUGCAUACUAAUAUGAGUUA